UACGGGGGGGAGCAAGCGUUGUUCGGAUUUACUGGGCGUAAAGGGCGCGUAGGCGGCCACCGCAAGUCGACUGUGAAAUCUCCGGGCUUAACCCGGAAAGGUCAGCCGAUACUGCGGGGCUAGAGUGCAGAAGGGGCAACUGGAAUUCUCGGUGUAGCGGUGAAAUGCGUAGAUAUCGAGAGGAACACCUGCGGCCGAAGGCGGGUUGCUGGGCUGACACUGACGCUGAGGCGCGAAAGCUAGGGGAGCGAACAGG
RNAcentral lists this ribosomal RNA (256 nucleotides) under uncultured bacterium. Its description in RNAcentral is "partial 16S ribosomal RNA". It matches the Rfam family "Bacterial small subunit ribosomal RNA", at positions 524 to 776 of the family's 1533-position model. The record is from RNAcentral.